Molecule: non-coding RNA, 124 nt
Organism: Triticum aestivum (bread wheat)
Lineage: Eukaryota; Viridiplantae; Streptophyta; Magnoliopsida; Poales; Poaceae
Source: Rfam
AUAAUACUCCCUCCGUCCGAAAAUACUUGUCGGAUGAAUGGAUGUAUCUAGUGCAAUUUAGUCCUAAAUACUCUCAUUUUUAUCCAUUUCUCCGACAAGUAUUUCUGGACGGAGGGAGUAGAAG